This 429-nucleotide ribosomal RNA is filed under the name Okibacterium sp. Its description in RNAcentral is "bacterial SSU rRNA". It matches the Rfam family "Bacterial small subunit ribosomal RNA", at positions 67 to 509 of the family's 1533-position model. Lineage: Bacteria; Bacillati; Actinomycetota; Actinomycetes; Micrococcales; Microbacteriaceae. The record is from RNAcentral.
CGAUGAAGCCCAGCUUGCUGGGUGGAUUAGUGGCGAACGGGUGAGUAACACGUGAGUAACCUGCCCUUGACUCUGGGAUAAGCGCUGGAAACGGCGUCUAAUACCGGAUAUGACAACCGACGGCAUCGUCUGGUUGUGGAAAGAAUUUUGGUCAAGGAUGGACUCGCGGCCUAUCAGCUUGUUGGUGAGGUAAUGGCUCACCAAGGCGACGACGGGUAGCCGGCCUGAGAGGGUGACCGGCCACACUGGGACUGAGACACGGCCCAGACUCCUACGGGAGGCAGCAGUGGGGAAUAUUGCACAAUGGGCGAAAGCCUGAUGCAGCAACGCCGCGUGAGGGACGACGGCCUUCGGGUUGUAAACCUCUUUUAGCAGGGAAGAAGCGAAAGUGACGGUACCUGCAGAAAAAGCACCGGCUAACUACGUGCC